AAAAAUAAAAAAAGCCAAAGAAGAAAAGAAACCAGAACAGUUUGAAAAAUUGUUCUGUUCUGGUAGGUUAAAUUUUCCAGAAAUAAUUGAUAAUUUCUAGUUUUCUAGGAAUUCAGCCCUAAAUUUUUUACUCUGUAAUGGCUUCUAAUACCCCUUUGCUUCAACCUGACUGAGAUCAGACCUGACGGUUCAAUCUAUCAUUACUUAGUUUUUCUUCUUAUAUUAUAUAAUCGAAGAGGAGCAACUUCAAUUGCACAGCCUGAUGUCAAGGAAAUCAAGAAGCGACUUGAAGACCUGAUCUCUCAAGACUACCUGAAAAGAGACAAAGAUAAUGUGAAUUUGUUUAAGUACUCGGCUCGGCAUGGUGUGAUCUUGAUUGAUGACUUCACAACUGAAGUUGUUACUGCAGCUCCUUCCUACAAAUAGCAAAACCAGAUGAUGAUAUAUAUAUAUAUGUACUUGGAAUCACAGAAAAUCAGUUCCUCUUGAUUUCCUUUAAGGGAGGGGCUAUUGUGUGACUUUAGUUUUUAAUGAAAUUGUAUUUUCAA
Molecule: long non-coding RNA, 548 nt
Organism: Trifolium pratense (red clover)
Lineage: Eukaryota; Viridiplantae; Streptophyta; Magnoliopsida; Fabales; Fabaceae
Exons: 2
Source: RefSeq, a predicted model, not a curated record